GGUCGUUGUAGAGGUAGAUGGCUACUACCAUCCGGUUGUAACCCGGACGCCUUAGGCUAGAGGUUCAAUUCCUUCCUUCGACCACCA
RNAcentral lists this transfer RNA (87 nucleotides) under Pseudomonas aeruginosa. RNAcentral describes it as "tRNA-Tyr". Lineage: Bacteria; Pseudomonadati; Pseudomonadota; Gammaproteobacteria; Pseudomonadales; Pseudomonadaceae. The record is from RNAcentral. RNAcentral also lists the same sequence under 6 other names.